GGGCACUUGGCACAGUGGUAGCGCGCAUGCUUUGCACCUGGUUUGGUCUGCAUGAGGUCGGGAGUUCGAUCCUCUCAGUGUCCA
Molecule: non-coding RNA, 84 nt
Organism: Panus rudis PR-1116 ss-1
Lineage: Eukaryota; Fungi; Basidiomycota; Agaricomycetes; Polyporales; Panaceae
Source: the annotation of a GenBank genome assembly